AUUGAACGCUGGCGGCAUGCUUUACACAUGCAAGUCGAACGGCAGCACGGGCUUCGGCCUGGUGGCGAGUGGCGAACGGGUGAGUAAUAUAUCGGAACGUACCCAGAAGUGGGGGAUAACGUAGCGAAAGUUACGCUAACACCGCAUACGAUCUAUGGAUGAAAGCAGGGGACCGCAAGGCCUUGUGCUCCUGGAGCGGCCGAUAUCUGAUUAGCUAGUUGGUGAGGUAAAGGCUCACCAAGGCGACGAUCAGUAGCUGGUCUGAGAGGACGACCAGCCACACUGGAACUGAGACACGGUCCAGACUCCUACGGGAGGCAGCAGUGGGGAAUUUUGGACAAUGGGCGCAAGCCUGAUCCAGCAAUGCCGCGUGAGUGAAGAAGGCCUUCGGGUUGUAAAGCUCUUUUGUCAGGGAAGAAACGGUAGAGGCUAAUAUCCUUUGCUAAUGACGGUACCUGAAGAAUAAGCACCGGCUAACUACGUG
This 484-nucleotide ribosomal RNA is filed under the name uncultured bacterium. RNAcentral's name for it is "partial 16S ribosomal RNA". It matches the Rfam family "Bacterial small subunit ribosomal RNA", at positions 30 to 507 of the family's 1533-position model. The record is from RNAcentral.